AUGACUGCUGUGAUGCCAAAAGCCACAAGCCAAUGUGUUACCUCCCACUUUGCAAAAGACGUUUGCUCUGAAGAUACACGCAAAAUCAGGGAUGGCAACCUCAAAGCAGGAAUACUGGCAGUGACUUGGGUAUGCCAAAUAGCAGGUGUUUGAAGGAAGCCAGUUAAGGUUUUGUCUCAGUAUUUACUGGCAAGAAAUGGCUGUUUUUCUUGAUCCUUGAUUUCACUGGCUCAAUGCAUCCUCUCUUGCAGAAUACCAUCCACGAGGAGGUGCAUGAUCCAUGAGAAUUUUCUCUUCUAGAUUCUUCCCACAUACUUUCCAUUAGGAGAGCAGGAUAUUUUUUCUAUUUCCAGUGCCAAUCCAAAUCAUUCAGAUGUGCAGAAAAACAUGAGCAUUCUUUAAGGAGCUCUGUACUCUAAGCACAUCCUAAAACCUCUUUGAGGACUAACCACUUUUCUAAGUAAUCACUGGAAGUAGGGAAAUAGGAGGUAGAUGCAAGCAGCAGAACAGCACACAGUAUUCCAGGCAUGAGAAAAUUGUGGCAUUAUAGACUGGCAUAAUUAUAUUUCCUGGUUUUUUCUUUUUUCCUUUUCUAACAAUCAUUUGCAUUUUUGGAUUGGUGCCAUGCACUGAGUUGAUGUUUUUAUGAAAAAGUCUAUCUAUCACAAUUGGAAACUUCUGAGUGGUAACAGGCAACUCAGAGUUCAUCACUUUAUUCCUAAAGCCAAGAACACUAGCCUACCUAUAGAAUUUCACAUUUACCUACACUAAAUUUCCUCUGCCAUUUUAUUUACCAGUUACUUAAUCUUAAGGCACAUUUACAGCUCUCUGCACAGCUCCCACACAACCUACAUUGAGUAAAUGUAUACCCUCAGCAAAUAUUUCUACUUCACUGCUAAGAUCUUCUUCCAAUCAAUUCUUGAGUUUGUUAGGAAAAAUCAAUCCCCUGCAGAAUUCUGCUGGUGAUUUCUCUCUGUGUCCUCCCUGUGCUCAGGUGGUUGAAGCCUUGGUGCUGGGGAAUGUGGCAUUCAGCAUGGCUCUGUAAAGGUGCUGGGGAGCUGCAUGGUCCUUUGUUUGGGAUUUCCUGGGUGAGAAUCAUCAACUCUCUGUGCUGUGCUCUGUCCCUUGCACUGGGAUCUGCACACCAGAAGAGCUGGUCAGCCUGAUCUGUGCCUUCCUCUGUGCCUGGCAUGCUGGGCAGAAGGUGAGGGGAUUAUUUGGCAUUUCCCAGCAGUGGAGGACAGUGUGAUUGCUAUCAAGAUUCUGCAUAACUGAGGUCUUCUCGAAAGGGACUUUUCCUAUAUGCAGUCCAGACUGUUCUUUGUCAUGUGAUUUGACACCCGUGUUACACAUCCCUUUUUGUAUGAUCAGACACACAUAAAAAAGAAUGAGCUUCAGAAGUCUAAGUUCACACAGAAAGUAGGACACUAAUAGCCUUUGCUUAAGGAAUGUUUUGGGGCAUAGAAGAAGUGUUUUAGAACAAAGGAAGAUUAACAGUACACAGCCUUGUGACCCAGUACUCAGGACCCAAUACAGCAGUUCACUAGAGAAACUGUAGAAGAUGAGCAGAAAGUCCAUGGUAAUAUGGUUUGUUUUCAUAAACAUAUGCAAAAAAAGGAAUCGUAUAUUAAUCUAUUGGAUGUGAAUGAGCAUAGCCAGAUAAAUAAAACCUAAAUAUUUGAAUAGCUGUGGCUUUUG
This is a long non-coding RNA of Parus major (Great Tit), 1698 nucleotides long. The record is from Ensembl. Lineage: Eukaryota; Metazoa; Chordata; Aves; Passeriformes; Paridae.